GAUUGUAUCACUUCGAAGUAAUGGUACUCAUAUGAUCAGCGAAGUUAAACAACAUUGAGCCUGCUUAGUAUCUAGAUGGAUGACCCCUUGGGAAUGCCAGGUAUUGUAAG
This is a non-coding RNA of Acanthosepion pharaonis, 110 nucleotides long. Lineage: Eukaryota; Metazoa; Mollusca; Cephalopoda; Sepiida; Sepiidae. The record is from the annotation of a GenBank genome assembly.